RNAcentral lists this ribosomal RNA (798 nucleotides) under uncultured Glomeromycotina. RNAcentral's name for it is "SSU rRNA". It matches the Rfam family "Eukaryotic small subunit ribosomal RNA", at positions 314 to 1114 of the family's 1831-position model. Lineage: Eukaryota; Fungi; Glomeromycota. The record is from RNAcentral.
AUCAACUUUCGAUGGUAGGAUAGAGGCCUACCAUGGUAGUAACGGGUAACGGGGUGUUAGGGCACGACACCGGAGAGGGAGCCUGAGAAACGGCUACCACAUCCAAGGACGGCAGCAGGCGCGCAAAUUACCCAAUCCCGACACGGGGAGGUAGUGACAAUAAAUAACAAUACGGGGUCCUUACGGGUCUCGUAAUUGGAAUGAGUACAAUUAAAUCUCUUAACGAGGAACAAUUGGAGGGCAAGUCUGGUGCCAGCAGCCGCGGUAAUUCCAGCUCCAAUAGCGUAUAUUAAAGUUGUUGCAGUUAAAAAGCUCGUAGUUGAAUUUCGGGAUCAAUUUAUCGGUCGUGCCAAUGGUAUGAACUGGUACAAUUGGUUUCUCCCUUCUGAUGAAGCUCGAUGUCAUUAACUUGGUGUCGUGGGGAAUCAGGACUGUUACUUUGAAAAAAUUAGAGUGUUUAAAGCAGGCCUUGGCUUGAAUACAUCAGCAUGGAAUAAUGAAAUAGGACGUUUGAUCCUAUUUCGUUGGUUUCUAGGAUCGACGUAAUGAUUAAUAGGGAUAGUUGGGGGCAUUAGUAUUCAAUUGUCAGAGGUGAAAUUCUUGGAUUUAUUGAAGACUAACUACUGCGAAAGCAUUUGCCAAGGAUGUUUUCAUUAAUCAAGAACGAAAGUUAGGGGAUCGAAGACAAUCAGAUACCGUCGUAGUCUUAACCAUAAACUAUGCCGACUAGGGAUCGGAUGAUGUUAAUUUUUUAAUGACUCAUUCGGCGCCUUACGGGAAACCAAAGUGUUUGGGUUC